CUGACUGCUAUCGGAUUGGUACUAAGCCAUGCGAGUCAUUGUAGCAAUACAAGGCGGACGGCUCAGUAACACGUAGUCAACCUAACUCGUGGACGUGGAUAACCUCGGGAAACUGAGAAUAAACCACGAUAGAUCAUAGUGCCUGGAAUGGCUUAUGGUCCAAACAGUUUACUGCCAUGGGAUGGGACUGCGGCCUAUCAGCUUGUUGGUGAGGUAAUGGCCCACCAAGGCGAUUACAGGUACGGGCUCUGAGAGGAGAAGCCCGGAGAUGGGUAUUGAGACACGGACCCAGGCCCUAUGGGGCGCAGCAGGCGAGAAACCUUAGCAAUGUGCGAAAGCACGACUGGGUCAGUCCGAGUGAUUCCUGAUAAAGGAGUCUUUUGCCUGUCCUAAAAGCACAGGUGAAUAAGGGGUGGGCAAGUCUGGUGUCAGCCGCCGCGGUAAUACCAGCACCUCGAGUGGUCAGGACGUUUAUUGGGCCUAAAGCAUCCGUAGCCGGCUCUGCAAGUCUUCGGUUAAAUCCACCUGCUCAACAGAUGGGCCGCUGGAGAUACUACAGAGCUAGGGAGUGGGAGAGGCAGACGGUAUUCAGUGGGUAGGGGUAAAAUCCUCUGAUCCAUUGAGGACCACCAGUGGCGAAGGCGGUCUGCCAGAACACGUUCGACGGUGAGGGAUGAAAGCUGGGGGAGCAAACCGGAUUAGAUACCCGGGUAGUCCCAGCUGUAAACGAUGCAAACUCGGUGAUGCAUUGGCUUAUGGCCAAUGCAGUGCCGCAGGGAAGCCGUUAAGUUUGCCGCCUGGGAAGUACGGACGCAAGUCUGAAACUUAA
This 829-nucleotide ribosomal RNA is filed under the name uncultured soil archaeon. Its description in RNAcentral is "bacterial SSU rRNA". It matches the Rfam family "Archaeal small subunit ribosomal RNA", at positions 23 to 859 of the family's 1478-position model. The record is from RNAcentral.